CGGACUGAAAUUUGACACGCAAGUAAAGUAGAUAUCCCUCUUUAAAUGUUGCGAUUUUUAAUGAAAUAUAUGCAGCCAUUCAGAUUUUAUGUCAUUUAAAAUUUUUUGAAAAAAGGACGUGGUCGCUCUAACUUGCGUAAAGGUUCGACGAUUUACCUAAAUAGUUCUUCAUAACUGAAGAUACGUUUAAUGUUGUUUGGUAUUGAAUUUCAACAAAAUCGCUAAAGCGGUUCAGAUUUUACGUGGUUUUGAAAUUUUCAAAAAAUUAUCGUUGUUUUGUUUUUUUUACCUCAUUUUUAAUUGUUCAUUCCUGUAAGUACCAAAGUUCAAUUGUACAUACAUAACUCGCGAAAAUAAAUCAAAGAACUUCCUCAUAGUGGAGGCUUUGUGAACGAAGAAAAAGAAUCAAGAAGCAAAGUGUAAGAUUCUACUUUGCAUCAUUGUGAUAAAAAAAACCAAGUAAAAUAAUGAGGAAGCAAUUUGCAAGGUUCUACUUUUCACCCUUGUUCUUAUUUCUUUUUUCUCUUUUCUUAUCUCUUAUUUGCAACUAUGCAAAAAAUUAUGCUCAUGGUGUGGAAAGUGACGGUACCCCAUGAACCAUCCUCGCUGCAUUUUGUCAGCUCCUUGGUGACAAGCGAUUGAAGCGGCGAUUAAAAAAAAAAGUAAUAGUCAGAGUGUAGUGGAAAAAGUUGAGAGGUCAGAGCAUGUUUUUAAAGAAAUGACGAUCCGCCAGGCUGUCUAGCAUCACAACACUUUGCAGGGUAUACAAAAAAGUGGCACGUAUAAGAUUACAAAAAUAAACUUAACUCUAAAUGAAUAUUAAUAAGAGUGAUGCUGCUCGAUUCAGCUGUCAAUUGUCACUGGCUUCCUCUCGAUCAUUCUGUAUAAAAACACCUCGGUUUCCGGUGUCCGGUGUCUCUAUAUCUUAUCGAUUAUGGCACCGAGGAGAUCCAACACACCACCCGAGAGGGUCGAGGGCGUUCGCCCACCGUUGAAUGAGUUUUUCGCCCCCCUCCACGGUGGGCAAUGUUUCUACGGGUGCAUGUAUAUCCGCAGCCCGGUGGAAUUAUGUUACGGGUGCAUGCGCGUCCAGGCACCCGAAAUCCAGGCGCAGCACCC
This is a long non-coding RNA of Cephus cinctus (wheat stem sawfly), 1119 nucleotides long. RefSeq lists it as uncharacterized. The record is from RefSeq and is a predicted model, not a curated record. NCBI's taxonomy places the organism in Eukaryota, Metazoa, Arthropoda, Insecta, Hymenoptera, Cephidae. The transcript is spliced from 3 exons.